UUUAAAGACUACUAUUCUCUAUACGGGAGAGAAAGAGUCCUUGGCCAACAAAACAUAACAACUUUAGAGAUUUCACUCGAUCAGAUCUGCCCGUCCUAUCCCACCACACAAGUUCUAUCUCUUCAUGAAAGCCAAGACCCCAUCGCUUCAAUCCAGAUUAAGAGCUCCGUUUUCUCUCAGUUGGUAUUAACCAGGUACAAAUUUCAUGCAGUUUUGUGAGGGUUCGUCGUCCAGCUAAUUGUGCCAAGAACGAUCGUCUCAAGUACUAUAGUUGCUGAGUUUGCUCGAUUAACACAUCAAUCUGGUGGUCUUUGUCUCUUUGACAACUUGUGCAGCAUAAGGCAUAUUAUCAAGCAUUUUUGUUAUAUCAAUUGUUAUCCAGUACUUUCAAUC
Molecule: long non-coding RNA, 393 nt
Organism: Triticum aestivum (bread wheat)
Lineage: Eukaryota; Viridiplantae; Streptophyta; Magnoliopsida; Poales; Poaceae
Exons: 2
Source: RefSeq, a predicted model, not a curated record